Xiphias gladius (swordfish) is the source of this 2398-nucleotide long non-coding RNA. RefSeq lists it as uncharacterized. NCBI's taxonomy places the organism in Eukaryota, Metazoa, Chordata, Actinopteri, Istiophoriformes, Xiphiidae. The record is from RefSeq and is a predicted model, not a curated record. The transcript is spliced from 4 exons.
CGCUGACGCAGCAUUAAACUGAGUUAAAUGAACUGUGGCGUGGCGGGGGAGUCUAAUCCUUCUCAAAGUCACAUUCAAGCCUUUCAUAAAUGAGUUGCGUUCAUGCAGGCCAACCAUUCAUUGCUGAAAUAAGAACCCACCUUGGUGAUUGAAACGACUAUACUAAAAGCUGUGGAAGAGCUCGAUGGCUCGGAGGACAUCAAACUUGCGAGCCAUGAGGAACUUGACGGCCAAUUCCCUGGACAGCGGUGACACUCCAUGCUGACUGGUCCACUUGUUGAUUUCCUCCAGAAACUGCCUGGUAGCCUGAAACAGACCCAGAUGUGGUCACAAACUCCCAUAAAUCGAAGGGUCAAACAGGAAGGAAGCGAAACUGGGCUUUAAACUUGAAACAUCCUCAGAGAAAUGUGUCAUCUGCACACUUUUCAGAAUAUUCGACACAAUUUGAUGGCCUGGUAUGACCUCUACGGCAGCAUUUCAUGUGCUGUUGUAUAGUCUGGAGGACAAUGGGAGUCGUGUGAGCGUGUAUGCAGAAUGUACAUAGACGGGGAGGUACAAAUUAAAAUGCGUGAACUCUAAUUUGUGCAGCCAACCAAGGAAGCCAACCAAGCAGUUUGUGGAUGCUGUGAAGGGACAAAGAAAAUGUACGGUGUUACGGUCGAGCUUAAAAAAAAAAAAAAAAACUGGUAAAACUGGAGAGUGACGCAUGUAAGCGGCAGCAUGGGAUAUAGUGGGUGUGUAAAUCGGCAUUUCUCUAGUGGAAUUCACAAGGAAGAUGACGACUUAAGGCAUCAGCCAGAUUUCGACGACACUGCCUUUUAAGGGGAGCAUGCCAACUCCAGGCAGUGACCCUCUGUUCCUGGAGAAGCCAGUCUUGUUUGGUUUUUCUGCACUAGGGGCCAUAUCCGCCAGAGAGGAAUUCGAGGAUGAACCGGUUUGUUUUCAUGAUAGCACACCGGACUGCAGUGGAAGACUCACUGUGGAGGAGUGACUUAUUUAGUUCCUGGAGGAUGCAUAAAUAUUUGCUUGACUUGCUCCACUUCUGAUGCAGCAGGAGAUUUUUUUUCCUCAAAGUUCUCGAUUAUUCAUUUAAAAACACUUAAUUCUGGCUUAAACUGCCUGACAUUAAUCUAAAUAGACUGAGAUGUCCGUGCAAGUACAGAAUUAGUCUGUAUCAGAUUAAAAGUCUUUACUUUUUCCAUCUUCACUGGUUCAGCUGUCCUUAUUUCGUCAGUUUUCAGUUCUGAAAUUCUGUGUGAGACAUUUCAAGCAAGUGGUUUCUGCCCAUCCAAUACACAGCUGACAUUACAUAAUCUUGUUUGCUGUCACGAUGGUUGGGGUUGUUUAUUGCUGGAGUUGACGAUGACAGUCAAUAACUGACUGAUUAGGUUCACUGUGGUAGGAAACUGCUUUGCUGGGAGCUAGUGGAUGAAGUUGUGGUCAGUUCUUAAACCAAGUGAUUCACAAUAAUUUUGUGUUAGCACUGACAGAUGUAGUGUUGCACAACUCUAAUUUUCACAACAAUGCAAUAUGACACAUUGCAUGCAGUGGAACUGUUAACUGAAAGUCAUGUAUAUACCAUGGACUUGGGCUGCAAUGAUUAUCGAUUAAUUUUUUGGUCUAUAAAACAUCAGAAAACAUUCAGAAUAAAAAAGGUACAUAAUACUCUACCUUCCGGUAUUUCUACUUUCUACACUCAUUAUUCUGUACACCUCUAUUUUCUGUUUCUCAGUAUUUAUCACCAAUGUACAUUUUUAGAAAUUUUGCCACCCACAACCUUGACGCUGUGCUCCGUCCCACUAUGUUCUAUUGAGGCUUUUUCUGCCUACAGCUACCCACAGUAUUGGUACAACGGAUCCUUGCAACAAACAGAUUCUGAAAGACAGAUACAGUCGUUAUCAUACAUAAUGUUCAAUUUAUGGGUGGGCGAUAUCACAAUCUAUGCAAUGACUUGUCAGCUAUUAAAGAUUUGCUAUAUUCUCAAAUUGAAAAAAAAAUAUUGAGGUAGCUAUCACUUUAAUAUCUCUGGUUGUCUUAAGCCAUUGCAGGCAAUACUUUAAAUCAAUGUGCAGGACUACUUUAUGGCAGUUUUGUAAUUACAGGACUUCUGCAAAAUGUGAUGAAAUAUCUUGAUUUUAGUACUGCAACUAAUGAUAACUUUCUGUAUCAAUUAAUUUGCAAAUGAUCUUCCUGAUUAAAUGUUUUGUCGAUAAAAUGUGAAAAUAAUGAAAAAUGUCUAUCACAUUUUCCUUGUGCCCAAUGUGAAGUCUGCCAAUUGCUUGUUUUGUCUGACCAAUGGUUCAAAACCCCAAAGAUAACCAGCAAAACCAGAAAUUAUUCUUGUUUGAGAUGCUGGAACCUGUGAAUUUUUUGGUAUGUUUGCUUAAAAGAAUUACUU